This 261-nucleotide ribosomal RNA is filed under the name uncultured bacterium. Its description in RNAcentral is "partial 16S ribosomal RNA". It matches the Rfam family "Bacterial small subunit ribosomal RNA", at positions 793 to 1055 of the family's 1533-position model. The record is from RNAcentral.
GUCCACGCCGUAAACGGUGGGCACUAGGUGUGGGGGCGUUCCACGUUCUCCGUGCCGUAGCUAACGCAUUAAGUGCCCCGCCUGGGGAGUACGGCCGCAAGGCUAAAACUCAAAGGAAUUGACGGGGGCCCGCACAAGCGGCGGAGCAUGCGGAUUAAUUCGAUGCAACGCGAAGAACCUUACCUGGGUUUGACAUGCACCGGACGCAUUCAGAGAUGGGUGUUCCUUCGGGUCGGUGUGCAGGUGGUGCAUGGCUGUCGU